AUAUAAUUUCGAUUCUGCAAGUUAAACGAUGCUCUGGAUUAUUCUUCAACUGAAGUAUUGUUAUUGUCAUAAAUAGUCGAUCGAGACGUGUACAUCAGCGACUUUCAGAAGCCAGAAAUUAGUGAUGCAAAUCAAGCCAGAAAUAAUUUGAUAAGGCGAUAUUGUGCCGCGAGAUAGUCCAAUAGAGUGUAGUGAUGUCAGAGAGUAGCAAUUGAGGCCAAGUUAGGAAUCUCGAGUAGUGUGACCGAGUUGUCACCUAUUUUUCUAUCAGAGCUAAGGAUUAAGACGAGUUGUAUAAGCUGCGCGUAAGAUUGAUGCUAGGCGAGAUUGCCAGGGAGAUGUUUACAAGAGUAGUUUUGGUUAGAGUUGAAUUAUUUCAGUUCAGUUGUAUAAUAGAUUUAUUUAUUUGGUUAUCAGUCACUCUUUUUAUCGAGGUUUAACUGAUAAUGUAGUUUAAGUUGUAAUAAAAUUUGAUAGCUUUGGUUUC
This is a long non-coding RNA of Daucus carota subsp. sativus, 487 nucleotides long. RefSeq lists it as uncharacterized. The transcript has 2 exons. Lineage: Eukaryota; Viridiplantae; Streptophyta; Magnoliopsida; Apiales; Apiaceae. The record is from RefSeq and is a predicted model, not a curated record.